GGCUGCCGUGGCCGAGUGGUAACGUUUGCGACUUUGAUUCGUCAAGUCGUGGGUUCUAGGCCCGUCACGGUCU
Molecule: non-coding RNA, 73 nt
Organism: Halocaridina rubra (Hawaiian volcano shrimp)
Lineage: Eukaryota; Metazoa; Arthropoda; Malacostraca; Decapoda; Atyidae
Source: the annotation of a GenBank genome assembly